Molecule: ribosomal RNA, 464 nt
Filed under: uncultured bacterium
Lineage: Bacteria
Description: bacterial SSU rRNA
Rfam family: Bacterial small subunit ribosomal RNA
Source: RNAcentral
ACCAGACUCCUACGGGAGGCAGCAGUGAGGAAUAUUGGUCAAUGGCCGGAAGGCUGAACCAGCCAUGCCGCGUGAAGGUCAGUGCCCUAUGGGCGUUAAACUUCUUUUGUGCGGGAGCAAUAAUGGUCACGUGUGGCCAGACGAGAGUACCGUACGAAUAAGCAUCGGCUAACUCCGUGCCAGCAGCCGCGGUAAUACGGGGGAUGCAAGCGUUAUCCGGAUUUACUGGGUGUAAAGGGAGCGUAGACGGCAUGGCAAGUCAGAUGUGAAAGCCCGGGGCUCAACCCCGGGACUGCAUUUGAAACUGUAUUUCUUGAGUGCUGGAGAGGCAAUCGGAAUUCCGUGUGUAGCGGUGAAAUGCGUAGAUAUACGGAGGAACACCAGUGGCGAAGGCGGAUUGCUGGACAGUAACUGACGCUGAGGCGCGAAAGCGUGGGGAGCAAACAGGAUUAGAUACCCGAGUA